This is a long non-coding RNA of Puntigrus tetrazona (Sumatra barb), 578 nucleotides long. RefSeq lists it as uncharacterized. The record is from RefSeq and is a predicted model, not a curated record. The transcript has 3 exons. Lineage: Eukaryota; Metazoa; Chordata; Actinopteri; Cypriniformes; Cyprinidae.
UUUCCUAAAAACUUGAACACACACGCACACGGUGUCUCCUUCUUUCUGUCUUUCUCUGCAGAAUGAAAAGCACUCCCUGCAGUAGGACUGCUGUAACUCAUCACUCACUGUAACACAGACAGCAGAAGACCCGGUGAAACUGUCACCAACUCAACCAAGGAUUUCUGCAUUUUAUGAUGAACAGAAGGAGAAGCAGCUCCUCGGAUACACAAAUUUCCAAAGCAUUUUUUUCCACUUUAAAGCUUUGUCGUCGCUACCUUUUUCAAAAGAGUUUUAAAAGUGGGAACUACAGUUUUGAUGUAGCUUCCCAACACCAAUAGCAGUCUUAUGAAGUUAUCUUACAGUGAGUGAGUAACUCGUAUGAUUUCAGAUGUCUGGCAGUCUUCGUUCUUCACUCUGCUGAGUCACUCUAAAAUAAUCUGAGCAUCAAUGAGCGGUCUGAAUCUGAAGGGAACAAAAGAUCUCAAAGGUUUCAAUUAGCCAUAACUCUUUGAUCUCGCUUCAUUCAUUAUUCUUCAUGAAUACCGUCAUUUUCAUGUCUCUAAAACUCCUAUCAUAACACGGCACGAGGAGAUAGA